Molecule: non-coding RNA, 93 nt
Filed under: Aggregatibacter segnis
Lineage: Bacteria; Pseudomonadati; Pseudomonadota; Gammaproteobacteria; Pasteurellales; Pasteurellaceae
Description: Aggregatibacter sRNA 22
Rfam family: Aggregatibacter sRNA 22
Source: RNAcentral
UGCGGUCACAAAAUCCGAAGGAUUUUGAACGUUGGCUUUGCCAACGGCUCCGAAGGAGCGAAUAAAUCACUUCCGUGAUUUAUGAGUAAUAAU